CUCCGCCCCGCCGUCAUCCCGCCCCUCGGGGAAGGCAGCUGGGAGGCCGACCCGCUUCCCGCCCCUCCGCUCGCACCUGGGCAGGCGUCCCUGAAAGUGAGAGGUGUGGGGAGUUGGAUCGCUGCCCGCUGUUUCAGUUGCGGGGUGGGGGGGGCGUCUUUGCGCCUCCCCAGGCGCAGCCUCGUUCCGAAGAAUCUUUAAAUGGGAGCGCAUGAGCAGAAAAGUGGGGGCCUCUCCACGCUCACCGUCACCCCCUUCCGCCCCCGCCCCCGCAGGGGUGACAGCCAGAAAAUGAGUUCCUGCUAACAGGCCAGCCCCUGCUGCCCCGUCUGUGAACAGCUGUUUGCUCCAGCACGGGGACACAGGUUCAAGCCCUGAUCCGGGAAGAUCCCACAUGCUGCAGAGC
Long non-coding RNA from Aethalodelphis obliquidens (Pacific white-sided dolphin), 406 nucleotides. RefSeq lists it as uncharacterized. The transcript has 3 exons. NCBI's taxonomy places the organism in Eukaryota, Metazoa, Chordata, Mammalia, Artiodactyla, Delphinidae. The record is from RefSeq and is a predicted model, not a curated record.